Molecule: long non-coding RNA, 3185 nt
Organism: Mesocricetus auratus (golden hamster)
Lineage: Eukaryota; Metazoa; Chordata; Mammalia; Rodentia; Cricetidae
Exons: 2
Source: RefSeq, a predicted model, not a curated record
UACCGUGAGUACGUGUGCCGGAAAACUGUAACAGGUCCCCAGUCCCUGGUAUCUACUUCUGUCUUAGUUGUUUUUAGGGCUGGGAAGAGACACCAUGACCACAGAAACUCUUAUAAAAGAAAACCAUUUAACUGGGAAUGGCUUACAUUUUCAGAGGUUUAGCCCACUGUCAUCAUGAGAGGAAGGAAGCAAGGCACCCUGCAGGCAGACAUGGUGCUUGAGAAGGAGCUCAGUGUUCUUACAUCUUGACUCACAGGCACCAGGAAGUGGUCUGAACAGUGGGUAUGACUUGAGCAUAUAUGAGGCCUCAAAGCCCAUCUCCAUAGUAACACACUUCCUCUAACAAAACCAUACCUACUCCAACAAAGUCACACCUCCUGCCACAUGGGGGCCAUUUUCUUUCAAACUACCACAAUACCCGACAUCCUCCUCUUGCUUUCACAUGUGAGCAUUGGGGCAUGUACGUACACCUGUGCAUUUACCCCCCCUCCCCCACACACUGUAUCUUAUGUUAUUUACUUUGAAUGUGUUACUUCUUUCCCAGAACCAACUUUCUCACCAACUGAUACUCUACAGUACAAUGGAGAUGUUCCUGCAAAGGGCUCCAGACAUCUCAGUUCUGGAGGUUCUGGCAUGCCAAAAACUGAAACACCUACCAAGGAGUCUUUGACUUGAUGAUUUGAUGUUCUCUCCUUAUACCUGUGAUAGACUCUACUUGGACCUAUAGGUGAAAAAAAACUGUGUAAUAUACAGCACAAAUGAACAGACAUACCAGUGGAAAGCAAUUGAAUUGGUUUCAGUCUUACAUGUAAGUUGGAUCCUAUGAUCAUAAAAACAACUAGCAAGUGUCUUUCAUAGGUAAGCAUUGCCUCUUGAGAUCUCUGCCUCUUUGGGAAUGGCAGUCUCAGAUGUAAAAGACAAUUGUACAUUGCAAAGAGGCUGGCAGAUGAAACAUUUCAACAAAAUAAACCUGGAAACAAAUUAAAGCAUGCAACUUGAAAAUAGCACAUACAUUAAAUCUAUAAAUAUAGCAAAUAUUUAUCAGAAAUUGGUAGAAAGUAUCUUUUCCAAAGUAUGUGUAAAUAACAACACAUUCUCCAAAAAUAACUACCUUUUAUCCCUUUGUACUCUGCAACUCUUUUAUCUCCCAGGAUAGAGCACUUGGAUGAUCGGUAUCUAUUUAUUAGAUGCCCUUACAAGGCUGCUAUGGUGCCUCCUCUGAUCCCUAACAAAUGUUAAUGACAUUGGCAUUUAGUUGAUAUGACUUUCCUUUUCUUAGUGCAGUCCUUUUCCUUAGGCGAUUUGCUGUGUCAUCUCAUUAUAUCCAUGGCUUGAAAGAAGAACCUAGUCUUAAAGUUUGAGGUGGGUUAUUGAUCUCCGAAGAUGAUAUAAUUCACUGCCCAGGAUAAUUCAGACCUAUUAAAAAACUCUAAACAAAAUUCUCGGCUAUACUUUUCAUAUGUAAUUAUGCUACAUGAAGUAUUAAAAUUCUGGCAUUUCUUACUAUUCUUGCAACAAUUUAUUCAGGUCAAAGUCAAAUUCUUAAAACUCAUUUGGAAUCCUCUACACACAUAUUUCUUUGAAGAGUUUUAAAAUACAUUCUUUUGUACAACACUAGUAAUUAUUGCUAAUUGUCCCAAUUGGCGAUAUGUAAGUUUGAUUUACUUCUUUCAUUGUAUCACUUAUCAUUUGACCAAAGUCAGGACUAAAAAUUUUUUUGCAUUUUAAAUAUAUUCUCUAAGAUUAUACCCCAGGGCUGUGAAGAGAAGCACCUUUGAGAAUGAGGUAUCACUUAACUAUGGGAUUGAACAGAGAGUGAUAAAACAAUGAAGGGAAUCAUGGGUGUUCCAAAUCACCCAGGAAACUUAAUUACAUUUGUGUUUCACAAACAGGAAGAUGAAUAUUUAUUGUAGAGAUUAGCAGCGUUUGAAUGGAACAGCACAUAUGUUUAUUAACUCUGUUUGGAGGAGAUCCUCAGGAAAGACAUGAUUAGUUGUGAUCUCAGCCUUCCACAAAUACUGAAAAUAUUUCUCCACAAAUAAUUGCUCAUGUGGAAUAGAUGGUUUUGUGUUUUAGAGAGUAAUUAAAAUAGCCUUUUUGAGUGGUUACUUAACUACCUGCCAGUAGCCAACACGGGAAGCUUAUACACACUUAAUAUUUUAGUUUUAUACAUAUGCUUUCCCUCACACUCCUAGGGUAUAAAGUCAAGAAAAUAUUUAAUAAGGCCAUAAAGAUGAGUAAAGUGCUUGCCUUCAAGCAUAUUGGGCUGAGUUGAAUCCUCCAGAACUCAAGUCAAAAAGCCAGGCACACAUGUAAAUGCUGGAAAGGAAGAGACAGGUGAUCUCUGAGGCCUACCCUACCUGGAAAGCUCCAGGAUAUUUAUCACAUGGUAAAUAGCAAGUGUUUUUUAUUUUCCUUACUUUAUCGAUAAAGAGACUGGCAAAGAUAGCUGGAAUUAGAGAAUUGUAUUAUGUUCUUAACUGUGCUACUCAAUGCAAAUCACCAUGGAUUUACAUUAUUUAAAAGGCCUGAUAUUAGUUUAGUUAGAUCAUUCUUUGACUGAUUUAGUCCCUGUAUAACAUUAAGACUAGAAAAGACUAAGAUUUUAAUUUUGCAGAAGAGAAAGUUUAUGCACAUAAAGAUAUGGUGUAUUACUAAAUGUCCAACAUCAGAGCCUUAUGUGUAUUGGCUCAUAGCCUAACACUUUUAUUCCUUUUAAAAUUUAAUUCAAUUUACUUAUUUAUUUAGUGUCUCUACCUCUGUCUCUGUCUCUCUCUCUUUCUACGUGUGCUAUUAUAGUGUAUGUGUUACUGUGUGUGUGUGUGUGUGUGCCAGAGGACAACUUAUGAAAGUCAAUUCUCUCUUUCCACAGUAUGGGUUCCAGUGAUCAACCUCAGUGAUCAAACUCAGCCAUCUCACUGACUCUAGCAUUUUUGUGUUUGAGUACUCAUGUCUUAUCUAUCCUGUCAAUCACACCAUCAUCAAUAUGCUGUCCUACUGGAACUGAGGCAUGUGGUACCAUGACCAACAACAAGAAUAAAGACUACAAUACGCAAUAACAAUUGGCUUGGAAAUUUCCUUUUAUUGACAUUUAGCUAAGCUAAACAUUUCUACGGUUGAAGAGGACCACUGGUAUUUGAAAUUCAUCUUCAAAGAAAAUGUUAAUAAAAGCCUUUUUUACCAUA